GACAGGAGGUGACCCGGCAGCGUCUCCGGGUCGAGGUGGCUGAGGCGGCACUGGGGGAACUGGGACUGGCACUGGGCAGGUCGGUGUCCCCUCUUUGUCACCUCCAGGGUUGUCCCCAACCCCCACCCGAGGCCACCCCAGGAGGGGACACGAAGAUACCACCCCCUGGCAGAGUGGGCGUGGCCUCGCUGCUGUCCCACCUCCAGGCUGUCGGCUCUGCCCUCCUUGGGGACACGCCCCCAGUUGGUUCCAGUUUGGCCCAGUUUGUCCCCAUGAUGUCAUCAGGGACUCAGUGAUGGCAUCAAGGACUCAGUGACGGCAUCAAGGACUCAGUGAUGUCAUCGGGCACCCAGUGACAUCAUUCAGGAGGGAGUGAUGAUGUCAUUGUGGACCGGUGAUGUCAUUAUGGGGAACUGGUGGUCACUGGGGACACACACACCAGUGACAUCAUCGGGGAGAGCGGUGAUGUCACCGUGGUCUGUGACAUCACUGGGGUCAGCGGUGAUGUCAUUGAGGGAAAAUGGUGAUGUCAUUGUGGCCCGGUGACAUCAUCGGAGGAACUGGUGAUGUCGUUGUGGGUCUGUGACGUCAUCUGGGACAGCGGUGAUGUCUCCGUGGGUCUGUGACGUAACUGGGGUCAGCAGAGAUGUCCUCGAGGGGGAAAGGUGACAUCACUGGGGUCAGGAGUGACGUCAUCGACGUGUGGUGACGUCACAGCAGACGGUGGUGACGUCAUCGAAGGGGAACCGGUGAUGUCACUGGAGGGCCUCAGGUGACGUCAUUGGGAAAUGAAUAAAAAAUGGGAAAUUGACAUCAAUGGGAAAUGAAUUAAAAAAACCAAAACAAAGAAACAAAAAAUCCAACAACAACAACAACAAC
Myiozetetes cayanensis is the source of this 879-nucleotide long non-coding RNA. RefSeq lists it as uncharacterized. The record is from RefSeq and is a predicted model, not a curated record. The transcript has 3 exons. Lineage: Eukaryota; Metazoa; Chordata; Aves; Passeriformes; Tyrannidae.